GGCCCCCAUUUCCCAAAUGCCUACUAUAUUUCAGGAUUUCUCAGCAAGGACUGGUAGAACUUGACUUGACUGCCAGCUUUUAUCUGCAGGACCGGACUUCACAAAGCAGGGUGAAAGAAUUUGCAUGAUCUCCAUGGUGGCUAAUCAUAUAAUUUCCAGUUUCAGCAGCUGGCACCAGCUAUUUGCUCCCCCGCUACCCAAGCAAUUCUAGUAACUGUGAGAUAUCCUAUGAAUCACAGAACAAAUGCCCAACUCCUUUCUACAGUCACGGGGUCAGAGUACACAGCCAACCCACUAGCAGAGCUGGAGUUAUGGUUUGAGCCAAAGUACAACAAGGAAGGAGGAAGCCCCAACCUACCCCGGACAUGCCCUGAAUGACACAGCCAUUUAGGGCCUGCCAAAGAUGCCAUUCUGUUUGCAAACACAUAUUACCUGCCAUAUCACUCAACAAAAUAAUUCCAUCAGAAGGCCUGAAGGCAAAUGACUAAUGUUAAAAGUGGCCCAUGCAUCAUUUCAGUGACAACUCCACAGGCGCCAAUUAAACAUGGAAAAGACCUGUUCUGAAGCAUGCCCAUCUGGCAUUUCCCAAGGAACUGUAGUCAAUGGCUGAUAAAACAUACAUGAUCAUAACUAUAAAGAAAUUUCGCAGCCCUCUCCUUGCUCAAAAGCAACCGGGGCCUAUGAGGACAAUGAACCUGGAAGACACCCAAAAGAGGAGGUGAGUAAAGAAAAGCCUGCAUUUGAAGCCACCACUGCUCUUCCUCAUGCACAGAAAGCAAAGAUCGGGAGUUGCAUGAGGUCAGAUUUUCAGCCACCAAAAACAAACAAACAAAAAAACCAACCAAACCUCAAAAAAAACCCAGACGGGUCUAGGGAAUACUUGGGAGUUUGUCUGGUAGUCUGUGGGUGAACUUCAAUUGUUAUGUCUCCGAGUGAAAUAAAGGAUUGGCAGUAGUCCAUCCCCUGCUUCUAGGAGUGCUUUCCAGUAUCAGCAUUUGUAGGACUUGCUCAGCACACCAGGCCAAACUCACUGUCCAAAUAUCCUUCCCUAGAAAACAUACAAUAACCACCUUCUGAGUGGAAGGAAGAGGACACAUUUAACAAAUGAUGUCAAGGCAUAAAACCUCCGGCAGAGAGACAGUGGCUGGAGCAGAAGUGCUUUUCAAGGCUGCAGUUCUAAAUCAGUCAGGCAGACACCUGUAUACAUACAUACAUACAGAGACAAAGCUUCAAACACCACCACCUCAUCACACCUAAUGACUGCCUGUGAUGAGAGUCUGCA
This 1282-nucleotide long non-coding RNA is filed under the name Homo sapiens (human). Its description in RNAcentral is "non-protein coding PLCXD2-AS1:3". The record is from RNAcentral. Lineage: Eukaryota; Metazoa; Chordata; Mammalia; Primates; Hominidae.